UCCCAGCAUGGGGCCGUGCUGCACCACGCAGACAUCCCCUGAGAGACCUCACUGCUCCUUGGGAUUCGUCCCCAUAACCCUGCACCUGGGGCUGCACUGCCCACGCUACGCCUCACUCCCAGCCUGCUCCUGGUGCCUGCACACACUCUCCUGGGACGCCUUUGGUGCAAGGUCUGACUGAGUCCAGGUCUACUGCAGCCAGGAGAUAUAAGAGGUUCAAAGGCCUUGGGAGAACGGUCCCUAUUUCCCAUGGGCGGUGGCUCUGGCCGUGAUUCUGCCCCUUGUCGUUCUCCUGGGCAGUUUCUGCCUCUGGCGGCAGCACCGUGUGAAAGAGAGGCGCCGUGCAGACAAAGGUAACUUUUCUUCAUGGAUUUCCCUACGGAGGGAAGGGGGAGGUCUCAUGCUGUGCAGCUGGUGUCCCAGCAGGCCUUCAGGGCUCUCCUUGGAGAAGCUGUGUGUGAUGUGUGCUGAGGAGCUCCCCAAGAAACCUCAUCCCCAGCACCCCCAGCCUGCUGCU
Alligator mississippiensis (American alligator) is the source of this 517-nucleotide long non-coding RNA. RefSeq lists it as uncharacterized. NCBI's taxonomy places the organism in Eukaryota, Metazoa, Chordata, Crocodylia, Alligatoridae. The record is from RefSeq and is a predicted model, not a curated record. The transcript is spliced from 3 exons.